Molecule: ribosomal RNA, 503 nt
Filed under: uncultured bacterium
Lineage: Bacteria
Description: partial 16S ribosomal RNA
Rfam family: Bacterial small subunit ribosomal RNA
Source: RNAcentral
AUUGAACGCUGGCGGCAGGCUUAACACAUGCAAGUCGAGCGGGGUGAUGGUGCUUGCACUAUCACUUAGCGGCGGACGGGUGAGUAAUGCUUAGGAAUCUGCCUAUUAGUGGGGGACAACAUCUCGAAAGGGAUGCUAAUACCGCAUACGUCCUACGGGAGAAAGCGGGGGAUCACUUGUGACCUUGUGCUAAUAGAUGAGCCUAAGUCGGAUUAGCUAGUUGGUGGGGUAAAGGCCUACCAAGGCGACGAUCUGUAGCGGGUCUGAGAGGAUGAUCCGCCACACUGGGACUGAGACACGGCCCAGACUCCUACGGGAGGCAGCAGUGGGGAAUAUUGGACAAUGGGAGGAACCCUGAUCCAGCCAUGCCGCGUGUGUGAAGAAGGCCUUAUGGUUGUAAAGCACUUUAAGCGAGGAGGAGGCUUACCUAGUUAAUACCUGGGAUAAGUGGACGUUACUCGCAGAAUAAGCACCGGCUAACUCUGUGCCAGCCGCCGCGGUAA